Long non-coding RNA from Oreochromis niloticus (Nile tilapia), 1480 nucleotides. RefSeq lists it as uncharacterized. The record is from RefSeq and is a predicted model, not a curated record. NCBI's taxonomy places the organism in Eukaryota, Metazoa, Chordata, Actinopteri, Cichliformes, Cichlidae. The transcript is spliced from 4 exons.
GCGACCGCCGAUCGACCGCCGCUAGCGGCCCUUCAUGAAAAAGCACCCAGGCUUAGCUUACAGCAAGGCGCUGACUGUCAUUUCAUCACCCGAUCGCUCGACACGGGUCUGUGUUUUAGCUGGACUUAUUUUUCGUUCAUAUGGGCCGAUGAUGCUGGUCGAUGUGGAAAAAAUAACCGAGUUGUUUGGUGAUGGCUAGCCGGAGCUACAAAAGAGGGCAGCUAUCCACCGGUGUGUGACAGAAAGGACAUGCCGCCAACGAGACAUACGAGGCCGGGCAGGCGACCGCCGAUCGACCGGUGGUUGCUAACGCGGUGGUCAAUCGUGGAUCAGGGAAAGCGAAGGCAGGAGCGUGAGGUGAACUGAAUUUCAGCUUGUCUACUGGAGACAGUGCAGGAUAAAAUGAGAGUCCACUGUUUCUGACAUCAUGCUGUUACAGCGUGCCCACGCAGAGGUGUUGUGUGCUUCAGCAUGUCAUAAUAAGAAGUCACAGAACAAGAUGAGACACUCCCAUCAGAUCAUCUUGAGCACCAACAUGUUCUCUGUAGCUCUGCUGCUGCUGCUGGAUCCUGUGUGAAGUGUGAACAGCUGACACAGCCAGCCUCUGUGAUUGUGCAGCCAGGUCAGCGUCUGACCAUCACCUGUCAGGUCUCUUAUUCUCUUGGCUACUCGACAGCUUGGAUCAGACAGCCUGCAGGGAAAGGACUGGAGUGGAUUGGGAUGAAAUACACUGGGAACUCUCACUAUAAAGAUUCACUAAAGAGCAAGUUCAGCAUUGACUUGGACACUUCAAGCAAGACAGUGACUUUAAACGGACAGAAUAUGCAGCCUGAAGACUCUGCUGUGUAUUACUGUGCCCGAUACCACAGUAACACAAAACAUCAGCAAACCUGAACAAAUUGAAGAGAGUCUUUACUCAAAAAAAUUAAUAAAUGGGGAAAUUCCUUAGUGGAUCACAAUUCUUGAUUGAGGUAGUCGUAGCAAGAAAUUAAGCUCACGGCAGUUCAGCACCAGUUUACCAUAUCCAAAGGAAAUGACAGAAAGCAGCUGUAUCUGCAGAUGAGCAGCUUGACAUCAGAGGACUCUGGUGUUUAGUAACAAUGAAGACAUCACUCUGAUGAGUUUCUCCCACAGAAACAACUUUUGGGGAUUUCCUUACCUGGAUGAUUGAGCAUUCAUCAAGACAUCAAUAAUAAAUGUUUCAGUGAACAGGGAGAAUCUAUUUAGGUUUAACAGCACUUGUUUAGGAUAAAUAUAACAGUCAGUGAGAAAGUUUGCUUUGCUUACAUACUAACACUGGCCAAUUUCAAAUUUUAAAUUUUAAAACUGGCAGUUGUAAAAAUGUUUUGGUGUAUACAAAAGAAAAUUAUAAUUCACAACAUUAGUUCAGAGAUUGUUAUUAUAUAACAUAGAGAAAAAUGAGCACACACAAGAUACAAUAUUUAAUGAUAUGAGGUCCUGAUAAUCCUGUAUUAUUUCU